ACCGGCGCACGGGUGAGUAUCGCGUUGCAACUACCUUUACUGGGAAUAGCCCGAAGAGAUCGGGAUUAAUACCCCAUAAUAUUUAAAGAUGGCAUCGUUUUUUAUUAAAGCUUUGGCGGUUAAGGAUGGGCAUGCGUGACAUUAGUUUGUUGGUGAGGUAACGGCUCAACCAAGAUUACGAUGUCUAGGGGGUCUGAGGAGGAUGAUCCCCCACACUGGUAUGAGACACGGGACCAGACUCCUACGGGAGGCAGCAGUGAGGAAAUAUUGGGCAAAUGGACGCAAAUUUGACCCAGCCAUGCCGCGUGCAGGAUGAGGGCGCUAUGCGUUGUAACUGCUUUUAUACAGGAAAAAUCCUCCUACGUGUAGGGGGUUGACUGUACUGUAGAAUAAGCAUCGGCUAACUCCGUGCCAGCAGCCGCGGUAAUACGGAGGAUGCAAGCGUUAUCCGGAUUCAUUGGGUUUAAAGGGUGCGCAGGCGGGGCAAUAGUCAGUGGUGAAAUCCUGCGGCUUAACCGUAGAACUGCCAUUGAUACUGUUGUCCUUGAGUAUAGUUGAGGUGGGCGGAAUAUGUAAUGUAGCGGUGAGAUGCGUAGAUAUUACAUAGAACACCGAUUGCGAAGGCAGCUCACUAAGCUAUCACUGACGCUGAGGCACGAAAGCGUGAGAGCGAACAGGAUUAGAUACCC
This 689-nucleotide ribosomal RNA is filed under the name uncultured bacterium. RNAcentral describes it as "bacterial SSU rRNA". It matches the Rfam family "Bacterial small subunit ribosomal RNA", at positions 94 to 787 of the family's 1533-position model. The record is from RNAcentral.